This 347-nucleotide ribosomal RNA is filed under the name uncultured bacterium. RNAcentral's name for it is "bacterial SSU rRNA". It matches the Rfam family "Bacterial small subunit ribosomal RNA", at positions 161 to 507 of the family's 1533-position model. The record is from RNAcentral.
CGCUAAUACCCGCAUAAUACAGUGAAGACACAUGUUUUUAUGUUAAAGCUCCGGCGGUUAAAGAUGGGCAUGCGUAGGAUUAGCUAGUUGGUAAGGUAACGGCUUACCAAGGCGACGAUCCUUAGGGGUUCUGAGAGGAAGGUCCCCCACACUGGUACUGAGAUACGGACCAGACUCCUACGGGAGGCAGCAGUAGGGAAUAUUGGUCAAUGGGCGCAAGCCUGAACCAGCCAUGCCGCGUGCAGGAAGAAUGCCCUCUGGGUUGUAAACUGCUUUUGACAGGGAAGAAAUCACUUAUGCGUAAGUGUCUGACGGUACCUGUAGAAUAAGCACCGGCUAACUCCGUG